RNAcentral lists this ribosomal RNA (305 nucleotides) under uncultured bacterium. RNAcentral's name for it is "bacterial SSU rRNA". It matches the Rfam family "Bacterial small subunit ribosomal RNA", at positions 334 to 656 of the family's 1533-position model. The record is from RNAcentral.
GUGCACCUCGGGACGCAGCAGUGGGGGAUAUUGCACAAUGGGGGGAACCCUGAUGCAGCGACGCCGCGUGGGUGAAGAAGCGCCUCGGCGCGUAAAGCCCUGUCAGCAGGGAAGAAAAUGACGGUACCUGAAGAAGAAGCCCCGGCUAACUACGUGCCAGCAGCCGCGGUAAUACGUUGGGGGCAAGCGUUAUCCGGAUUUACUGGGUGUAAAGGGGGCGCAGACGGCGAUGCAAGCCAGGAGUGAAAGCCCGGGGCCCAACCCCGGGACUGCUCUUGGAACUGCGUGGCUGGAGUGCAGGAGGG